Anguilla anguilla (European eel) is the source of this 1550-nucleotide long non-coding RNA. RefSeq lists it as uncharacterized. Lineage: Eukaryota; Metazoa; Chordata; Actinopteri; Anguilliformes; Anguillidae. The record is from RefSeq and is a predicted model, not a curated record. The transcript is spliced from 2 exons.
GCUACAUUAAACAACCUAUUUUGAAACGAAGACGUGCCUGCAUUUAUUUUUCUACUUACAAAAGUACGGCGGAAUAAAUUGAACUCUUAAAAAUUCCACAUUAUUGGCGAGCCAGCCCAAAUCCGUCGUUCUUGUUGCGUUUUUCAAAAAAAAAAAAAAAAAAAAACUGGGGAGACUGACAUUCGUGUGUGACACUGGCCUACAGAAGAGACUUUCUUUUUUAUGCUGACGCCGAAUUCAAGAAAGGAUUACAGCAAGAGGAGGACUGUUUUGGAAGCCAUUUGCCAACGCUGAAGGAAAAACGGACUUGAAGGCACGGAACGGACCACGUACAUUUAAUUAAUUGUGAUGAGGAUGAGGCUCCUGGUAUUCAGGAACAGGUUGGAGGUCAGCACUAAGUGGGACAUUCCUAUCAUAUUCAUAAACAGCACACAAUGUGUCAAGGACAAUACGCGCAGUUGAUGUUGGAUUCACCGAAUGGACAUCAGACAGGUGGAAAGAUGGUGAAGCGUUCACAACAGAGGACACAUGGAAAGUAUCAAGUGAAUCUUAAUUUAGAACACAUGAUUGAGGGUGGAAGACAGCUUCCAAGAAUACAAGAAUUCAUUGUGAUAGUAAAAGCUCGUAAUUGGACACAUUAUGAUAACGCAAUAACUAGUUGGGAUGAGGGACAGUAUAACCAGGGGAGAUGGGCCAUGGAGCAUGGAUCUACAUAUUACCCUGGUCGAACAAUGAUGCAUCUAAAUUUAUACGGUUAAAAUAAAUAAAUAAAUAAAUAAUAAUACAUAUAUGUAUGAAGUUACAUUUGAGAAUAGACAAUGCCAACCUCUAAAGGAAUGGGAAGACUCAAGCAGUUGGACUGAAGCAAAUGUCCUCCACUGCACCCUAUUCCUAGAGAAGGCAUCAUUUUUGGACCAGAAGGAAAAAGAAAAAGGGUUUAUAAUAUGAUGUAAAUAUGGUAUUCAUGCAUGCUGUUUAUGAUUGAGCUAAUGUCAUUGUCGUGUUUGAUCAGUAUAAGGGAAUGGCUGAAUCAACAGAUUAUUACAUUCAUACAUGUUAUGCAUGAAAGUCAUGCAAUAAUUAUAUCUAUUAACUAUAAUGAACUGUCCACAGAGAGGAAUGUUCAUCCUUUAGAGGAAGUGGAGAGCGUGGUGGACCAGUGUCACUGGUGUAUUCUGAGUCACCCCACAGGAUUUCCAUAUGGUAAUAUAAGGUGUUAAUCACCCCCUGGUUUCUGGUUUACACCAGCAUACACUGUUCAGAUGGGGAACAUUCGUUUACCUACUACUGAUGCCAGUGAGUCCAACAGCUUGGCCAUGUGGGAGGAUGCCUACCUGGUUCCUCAGUCAAAUGUGUCAGGUAUUCAUGCUCAGGUGAAGAAAGCUCUAAUGGAGAGUGAUUCAACACUACAGGCCACAGUCCUGAAGCGACAAGGAUGCUCUGAUGAAAACACAUUUUUGGAACUGGAUAUUCCUGGCAAUUGUAGGUCUAAUAGUAAUUCAUAUCCCCAAUGAUCAAACACAGUGUUAUUGCUGGCAUAAACAGAAAAA